AGCUGGAUUUUGACGUAAUUUCUUCUGAUGUAGCUAGUAGGUGGCGGAGUUGUAUUUGAAUGUCGGCAGCACCUUGACAGCGAUUAGAUAUCCUCUCUGCUAGUCUUCUUUGAUCCUUGAAUUCUGUGGAGCUCAAAUAGACAACAAAGCUUUGUGGAACUGGUUAAGUGUUAGCAUAAAAUCUCUUUGCUGUUAUCAUGUUGAGCUUCCUCUAAUAAAUAUUACUCUCUUUGGUAGGAUCAUAAAUUUAUUUUUAUAUUUUCAUUUUUAUAGGAUAGGAAUAUAUUUAUUUUAUUUUUAUGCCACCACAGUGAAUGUACUUAUGGGUUUUAUGCCAUGAGCAUACUCACAUGGGGCUUACUAUUUUUAACAUUUUUAUUUUCUUUUCAAGAUAGCAUGAUUAACUAACAAGCCAUUUAAUGAAAGUAAAUAAUUUAAGGGAAAAGGGAAUGCUGAAAGGAUAAAUAUGGAUAACUACCGAUUUUACCUUUCGGCGAGGGUUCAAUGUUUUAAGUCUUCUGAACAAGACUUCUCACCGUGUUUAUUCUUCAGGCGCGUCAUUUGAUUCAAGUGUGGACCUUGACAUCUGCACCUCUUGAUACGGUGUCAUGCAUGUUCUUUGUUUGCCCAGCAGUUCGAUGUGCGGCAUUGGCAACAUCCUGCUUAGUGUGUUUGUGCUCGUAGAUCUAGGUUUUUCACUUGGUGGAGUCUGGAAGAUGUAAAACUCCUCUAUAUUUUGCUCGAAGUGUACCUGCUCAUAGAGACAAGGCAGAGAUCAAGUGCAUGGGCCCUGUUGGUGGAAAACACCAACAGAACCAAAAGUGUAUUUGUUCUUCUCUAACCUUAAGCAUAGUGAGCAAGAUGAAGUUGAUGGAUAAUAAGAUCAUGAGUGUAGCAUUUAAAACAUUUGUCAGAUCAGAUCGCUCAACCUAAUGGAA
This 938-nucleotide long non-coding RNA is filed under the name Sorghum bicolor (sorghum). Its description in RNAcentral is "long non-coding RNA (SBIC_LNC012016)". The record is from RNAcentral. Lineage: Eukaryota; Viridiplantae; Streptophyta; Magnoliopsida; Poales; Poaceae.